Puma concolor (puma) is the source of this 164-nucleotide small nucleolar RNA. RefSeq annotates it as small nucleolar RNA SNORA81. Lineage: Eukaryota; Metazoa; Chordata; Mammalia; Carnivora; Felidae. The record is from RefSeq and is a predicted model, not a curated record.
ACCUUCCUUCAUAUAAGCACUGUGUCAAAACUGCGGAAACUAGGAUCACAUCUUGGUUUUUGUAAUAAUGUUGGCAGAGUACACACACUGCACUAGAUUGUGAAGACUUGGGGGGGGGGGGCUCUCUCUUAAUGUCCUUCAUCUCAAGAUUUGAUGCAAUAUGU